UAUGUGCGCGCAUGCGCACAACACAUAAAGGGAAGCAAAGCGCAUCCGGCUGUGAUUUAAUGCUACUCCGUUGUCAUAUUUGCAGGAAAAUAGCUUCGGUGAAGUCUGCUGUCAAGUUACUGGACACGUGGUAUUUGCACAACACUUCUGAAUCCGCAGCUUCGGUGUUUUAAGGCUGUUUCGAUAUGGAGAAGAAGUGGGAAGAGAUUUACGCGUUUAUUUCUGUGGGCUCCUACCCUUCAGGAUAUGACAAGGCUCAGAGGCAAAACCUCAGAAGAUAUGCCUCAAAAUUCCAACAAAAGGAUGGAGAACUCUUUGUUGGAACCAGAAAAGUAGUAAAAACCAUGGAUGAUGCCAGGAAGAUAUUUCAUGAGUUUCAUUCAUCUCCAAUUGGAGGACACACUGGCACACACAAAACGCUAAAUGCAGUGUGUUCCAGAUUUUACUGGUUUGGUAUGACAGUUGACAUUAAAACAUGGAUUCUGGAAUGUGACCAGUGUCAAAAAGUUGGGAAACCACUGACUGCUGUGCAACCGUUGCAGUGUAUUCAGGUGUCUGAAGUGUGGGAACUUAUUGGUAUAGAUCUUACUGGACCUCUUCCUAAAACGUCAAGCGGCUUUCCAGUAUAUACUGACUGCAACUGACUACUUUUCAAAAUGGGUUGAAGCUUUCCCAUUAAAAACGAAAUCUGCAUCUGAGGUAGCCCAGCACUUGUGCUCCAUUAUAUAUAUAGACAUGGCUGCCCCAAAAGGAUUUUGUCAGACCAAGGCAGAGAGUUUGUGAAUGAACUCAACUCUGAUCUUUGCAAGUUAUUGCAAAUUGAAAGAAGUGUCACAGCAGCAUACCAUCCACAGACCAAUGGUCUAGAUGAAAAGACCAAUGACAACAUAAAAAGAGCCCUCCGAAAACUGGUGAAUGACCAGCAGAAUAACUGGGAUCUGUAUCUAGAUCCCACCCUGUUUUCACUGCGGUCAAAAGUACACACCACAACAAAAUACUCACCUUUUUUUCUGAUGUAUGGAAGAGAGGCAGUAUUUCCAUCAGAAGUGCCUGCUCAAGUGCCGUGAAGUGGCUUUGGGCUGCAAAAGACACCGGGCGUGUGGAGACAGUCGUUGGGCCAUACAAAUUGUAUGACUCUUCUUUUCGCACACUGGAGGACAGUGGGUGGCUUUCUGAUGAGGUAAGUGAAGUAAUCAUUUUUGGUCCUAGUGGUGGUC
Long non-coding RNA from Oreochromis niloticus (Nile tilapia), 1217 nucleotides. RefSeq lists it as uncharacterized. The transcript has 9 exons. Lineage: Eukaryota; Metazoa; Chordata; Actinopteri; Cichliformes; Cichlidae. The record is from RefSeq and is a predicted model, not a curated record.